GCAGCGCAAUGGAUAGCGCGUUGGACUUCUAAUCCAAAGGUCAUGGGUUCGAAUUUCCCGUGAUAUGGCCU
Non-coding RNA from Trichonephila clavipes, 71 nucleotides. NCBI's taxonomy places the organism in Eukaryota, Metazoa, Arthropoda, Arachnida, Araneae, Nephilidae. The record is from the annotation of a GenBank genome assembly.